Molecule: unclassified non-coding RNA, 363 nt
Filed under: uncultured bacterium
Lineage: Bacteria
Description: contains 16S-23S intergenic spacer region
Source: RNAcentral
UCCGGGUUUCGCCCGGCAGUCUCCCUAGAACAUUCAACUAAGGACAGGGGUUGCGCUCGUUGAGGGACUUAACCCAACACCUCACGGCACGAGCUGACGACAGCCGUGCAGCACCUGUGCACGCUCCCUCGCGGGUCCCUCAGCUUUCACCUCGGUACCACGUGCAUGUCAAGCCUGGGUAAGGUUCUUCGCGUUGCAUCGAAUUAAACCACACGCUCCGCUGCUUGUGCGGGCCCCCGUCAAUUCCUUUGAGUUUUAGCCUUGCGGCCGUACUUCCCAGGCGGAGAACUUAAUGCGUUGGCUACGGCACCGCGGGGGUCAACACCCACGACACCUAGUUCUCAUCGUUUACGGCGUGGACUA